Molecule: ribosomal RNA, 301 nt
Filed under: uncultured bacterium
Lineage: Bacteria
Description: partial 16S ribosomal RNA
Rfam family: Bacterial small subunit ribosomal RNA
Source: RNAcentral
CAGUAGCCGCGGUAAUACGUAGGGUGCGAGCGUUAAUCGGAAUUACUGGGCGUAAAGCGUGCGCAGGCGGUUCGCUAAGACAGAUGUGAAAUCCCCGGGCUUAACCUGGGAACUGCAUUUGUGACUGGCGAGCUAGAGUAUGGCAGAGGGGGGUAGAAUUCCACGUGUAGCAGUGAAAUGCGUAGAGAUGUGGAGGAAUACCGAUGGCGAAGGCAGCCCCCUGGGCCAAUACUGACGCUCAUGCACGAAAGCGUGGGGAGCAAACAGGAUUAGAGACCCCAGUAGUCCCUGUCUCUUAUAC